UACGUAGGGCGCAAGCGUUGUCCGGAAUUAUUGGGCGUAAAGAGCUCGUAGGCGGUUUGUUGCGUCGGCUGUGAAAACCUGAGGCUCAACCUCAGGCCUGCAGUCGAUACGAGCAGACUAGAGUGUUGCAGGGGAGACUGGAAUUCCUGGUGUAGCGGUGAAAUGCGCAGAUAUCAGGAGGAACACCGGUGGCGAAGGCGGGUCUCUGGGCAGUAACUGACGCUGAGGAGCGAAAGCGUGGGGAGCGAACAGG
Molecule: ribosomal RNA, 253 nt
Filed under: uncultured bacterium
Lineage: Bacteria
Description: partial 16S ribosomal RNA
Rfam family: Bacterial small subunit ribosomal RNA
Source: RNAcentral